Molecule: ribosomal RNA, 279 nt
Filed under: uncultured bacterium
Lineage: Bacteria
Description: partial 16S ribosomal RNA
Rfam family: Bacterial small subunit ribosomal RNA
Source: RNAcentral
UGCCAGCCGCCGCGGUAAUACGGAAGGUCCAAGCGUUAAUCGGAAUUACUGGGCGUAAAGCGCGCGUAGGUGGUUUAUUAAGUUGGAUGUGAAAUCCCCGGGCUCAACCUGGGAACUGCGUUUAAUACUAGCAAGCUAGAGAAAUAGAGAGGAAAGUGGAACUCCCAGUGUAGAGGUGAAAUUCGUAGAUAUUGGGAAGAACACCAGUGGCGAAAGCGACUUUCUGGCUAUUUUCUGACGCUGAGGAGCGAAAGCAUGGGUAGCGAAGAGGAUUAGAUA